Molecule: ribosomal RNA, 492 nt
Filed under: uncultured bacterium
Lineage: Bacteria
Description: partial 16S ribosomal RNA
Rfam family: Bacterial small subunit ribosomal RNA
Source: RNAcentral
AGUGAACGCUGGCGGUAGGCCUAACACAUGCAAGUCGAACGGCAGCACAGUAAGAGCUUGCUCUUACGGGUGGCGAGUGGCGGACGGGUGAGGAGUACAUCGGAAUCUACUUUUUCGUGGGGGAUAACGUAGGGAAACUUACGCUAAUACCGCAUACGACCUACGGGUGAAAGCAGGGGAUCUUCGGACCUUGCGCGAUUGAAUGAGCCGAUGUCGGAUUAGCUAGUUGGCGGGGUAAAGGCCCACCAAGGCGACGAUCCGUAGCUGGUCUGAGAGGAUGAUCAGCCACACUGGAACUGAGACACGGUCCAGACUCCUACGGGAGGCAGCAGUGGGGAAUAUUGGACAAUGGGCGCAAGCCUGAUCCAGCCAUACCGCGUGGGUGAAGAAGGCCUUCGGGUUGUAAAGCCCUUUUGUUGGGAAAGAAAAGCAGCAGGUUAAUACCCCGCUGUUCUGACGGUACCCAAAGAAUAAGCACCGGCUAACUUCAUG